This 254-nucleotide ribosomal RNA is filed under the name uncultured bacterium. RNAcentral describes it as "partial 16S ribosomal RNA". It matches the Rfam family "Bacterial small subunit ribosomal RNA", at positions 524 to 776 of the family's 1533-position model. The record is from RNAcentral.
UACGGGGGGAGCAAGCGUUGUUCGGAUUUACUGGGCGUAAAGGGCGCGUAGGCGGUCGUGACAAGUCACUUGUGAAAUCUCCGGGCUUAACUCGGAACGGUCAAGUGAUACUGUCGGACUAGAGUACAGAAGGGGCAACUGGAAUUCUCGGUGUAGCGGUGAAAUGCGUAGAUAUCGAGAGGAACACCAGUGGCGAAGGCGGUUGCCUGGGGCUUUGCUGACGCUGAUGCGCGAAAGCGUGGGGAGCGAUCCGG